This 468-nucleotide ribosomal RNA is filed under the name uncultured bacterium. Its description in RNAcentral is "partial 16S ribosomal RNA". It matches the Rfam family "Bacterial small subunit ribosomal RNA", at positions 28 to 507 of the family's 1533-position model. The record is from RNAcentral.
GACGAACGCUGGCGGCGUGCUUAACACAUGCAAGUCGAACGGAAAGGCCCUGCUUUUGUGGGGUGCUCGAGUGGCGAACGGGUGAGUAACACGUGAGUAACCUGCCCUUGACUUUGGGAUAACUUCAGGAAACUGGGGCUAAUACCGGAUAGGAGCUCCUGCUGCAUGGUGGGGGUUGGAAAGUUUCGGCGGUUGGGGAUUGACUCGCGGCUUAUCAGCUUGUUGGUGGGGUAGUGGCUUACCAAGGCUUUGACGGGUAGCCGGCCUGAGAGGGUGACCGGCCACAUUGGGACUGAGAUACGGCCCAGACUCCUACGGGAGGCAGCAGGGGGGAAUAUUGCACAAUGGGCGGAAGCCUGAUGCAGCAACGCCGCGUGCGGGAUGACGGCCUUCGGGUUGUAAACCGCUUUCGCCUGUGACGAAGCGUGAGUGACGGUAAUGGGUAAAGAAGCACCGGCUAACUACGUG